UCAUAUUGUAAACAGGAAGGUACAUAGCUUUAAAGCCUAUGUUGAAAAGGGAAGCCAGUGAAAAUCUGGCACGGUGCCCGCCACUGUAAAAGGGAGUUCUAUUACAACGUGUCACUGAAUUUUUUUGGGAAGACGUAGUAGAACGAUUACCUUGAGUCAGGAGACCUGCCUUAACUGUUUGCUUCAU
This 187-nucleotide non-coding RNA is filed under the name Priestia endophytica. The record is from RNAcentral. Lineage: Bacteria; Bacillati; Bacillota; Bacilli; Caryophanales; Bacillaceae.